GAUGAACGCUGGCGGCGUGCCUAAUACAUGCAAGUCGAGCGAACGGACGAGAAGCUUGCUUCUCUGAUGUUAGCGGCGGACGGGUGAGUAACACGUGGAUAACCUACCUAUAAGACUGGGAUAACUUCGGGAAACCGGAGCUAAUACCGGAUAAUAUUUUGAACCGCAUGGUUCAAAAGUGAAAGACGGUCUUGCUGUCACUUAUAGAUGGAUCCGCGCUGCAUUAGCUAGUUGGUAAGGUAACGGCUUACCAAGGCAACGAUGCAUAGCCGACCUGAGAGGGUGAUCGGCCACACUGGAACUGAGACACGGUCCAGACUCCUACGGGAGGCAGCAGUAGGGAAUCUUCCGCAAUGGGCGAAAGCCUGACGGAGCAACGCCGCGUGAGUGAUGAAGGUCUUCGGAUCGUAAAACUCUGUUAUUAGGGAAGAACAUAUGUGUAAGUAACUGUGCACAUCUUGACGGUACCUAAUCAGAAAGCCACGGCUAACUACGUGCCAGCAGCCGCGGUAAUACGUAGGUGGCAAGCGUUAUCCGGAAUUAUUGGGCGUAAAGCGCGCGUAGGCGGUUUUUUAAGUCUGAUGUGAAAGCCCACGGCUCAACCGUGGAGGGUCAUUGGAAACUGGAAAACUUGAGUGCAGAAGAGGAAAGUGGAAUUCCAUGUGUAGCGGUGAAAUGCGCAGAGAUAUGGAGGAACACCAGUGGCGAAGGCGACUUUCUGGUCUGUAACUGACGCUGAUGUGCGAAAGCGUGGGGAUCAAACAGGAUUAGAUACCCUGGUAGUCCACGCCGUAAACGAUGAGUGCUAAGUGUUAGGGGGUUUCCGCCCCUUAGUGCUGCAGCUAACGCAUUAAGCACUCCGCCUGGGGAGUACGAUCGCAAGGUUGAAACUCAAAGGAAUUGACGGGGACCCGCACAAGCGGUGGAGCAUGUGGUUUAAUUCGAGGCAACGCGAAGAACCUUACCAAAUCUUGACAUCCUUUGACAACUCUAGAGAUAGAGCCUUCCCCUUCGGGGGACAAAGUGACAGGUGGUGCAUGGUUGUCGUCAGCUCGUGUCGUGAGAUGUUGGGUUAAGUCCCGCAACGAGCGCAACCCUUAAGCUUAGUUGCCAUCAUUAAGUUGGGCACUCUAAGUUGACUGCCGGUGACAAACCGGAGGAAGGUGGGGAUGACGUCAAAUCAUCAUGCCCCUUAUGAUUUGGGCUACACACGUGCUACAAUGGACAAUACAAAGGGCAGCGAAACCGCGAGGUCAAGCAAAUCCCAUAAAGUUGUUCUCAGUUCGGAUUGUAGUCUGCAACUCGACUACAUGAAGCUGGAAUCGCUAGUAAUCGUAGAUCAGCAUGCUACGGUGAAUACGUUCCCGGGUCU
This 1372-nucleotide ribosomal RNA is filed under the name uncultured bacterium. RNAcentral's name for it is "bacterial SSU rRNA". It matches the Rfam family "Bacterial small subunit ribosomal RNA", at positions 28 to 1381 of the family's 1533-position model. The record is from RNAcentral.